AUUGGGAUUACAUUCAAAAAUUUUCAAAAUACCUAUUUUCUCAUUGAGGUUUCUCCUCUGUAUUUUUUGUAACAUGAUUACUCCCUUACAAAAAAUAGUUUUGCCUCUGAAAGUCAUUUACUGGACUACUCUUGCCAUGUCAAUGCAUGAGAUUGAAUUGUUUGUUUUUUUUUGGUCUCUAGAUCUAUGAACCUGGUCCUAGCAACAGUACUCAAACAGUACACACAGUAACUCCCAAGUCACUGUAUCACCAUGUCUCGAGAGUUCUACAAGUGUGAGUGACGCUGAUAUUGUGAACUUGAUUUCUCAAGUUUGUGUGUCGUCUCUUUCCUACCGAGGAUCAGGAAGAAUGGUACUCUCCGCAUAAGACAGUCAACAAGAUUUCAGUGCGUGCCAAAGGACGCCUUCAAAAUAUUCGAGAUAACAUAAGGAAGGGACUUAUAGCAGCUGGCGCGGUUUCAAGCCAAAGGUCUCGUAAGGCCAAACAUGUGGUGCUAGUUUCAGAGAAACCAACUGAAACUGCCAAGGAGUUACAAGAUAAAGUUUCCCACUUGAAAAAAUCUACAAAAAUUACUGCAUCAACUAAAACUUACUGGAGAGAAACAGCUGAUAUUAGAUGGAAUGAAUGGAAAGACCAGCCCAUCCAUAAGAUUUUUGAAGCCUAUCCCAUUCUUGGUCUUGACGAAGGCUGGGAAUUAGUAAGUUCAAUCUCAAUCUAUUUUAUUCUAUUUUUCUUUAAUACAUCCUCCAGUAAAGGAAAGUUUUAGGAGGUGCCUUUAAGAAAAAGAAAAUUAAAAAUGAUCCGAUAUGAUGCACAUGUACCUAUCUAUCUCUGAGAAUGUUUUCUGUCGGAAUUUACCAGACUGUAAUUUUAAAUUAAUGACUUAUUUGUACUCAUAAGAAUCUCAAUCUGGAAUCAACCGUAUAAGUUACCGUUUAAGUAUACCGUUUCUAAUAAGUUAUGCAUUUCAUCUGCAUUUGCUAGUUUUAGAAUCUAGGAAGCUGAUGGAAAAGUUUAUCUUUUGCCGGACAAUGUUGGACAGGUUUUAAAUUUCGUUUAAUUAUCAUGAAAAGGAUGUCACUUUAUCCUUCAAGCCCCACAAUUUUGCAAUUUUUUGAGAUGUUUCUUUUCAGGAGGAAAAUUUUGGAGGAAACA
This 1156-nucleotide long non-coding RNA is filed under the name Bemisia tabaci. Its description in RNAcentral is "lncRNA ENSASIAIIG006517". Lineage: Eukaryota; Metazoa; Arthropoda; Insecta; Hemiptera; Aleyrodidae. The record is from RNAcentral.